This 623-nucleotide ribosomal RNA is filed under the name unidentified microorganism. Its description in RNAcentral is "bacterial SSU rRNA". It matches the Rfam family "Bacterial small subunit ribosomal RNA", at positions 82 to 719 of the family's 1533-position model. The record is from RNAcentral.
UCGGGGUACACGAGCGGCGAACGGGUGAGUAACACGUGGGUGAUCUGCCCUGCACUCUGGGAUAAGCUUGGGAAACUGGGUCUAAUACCGGAUAUGACCNCAGNNNGCAUGUGNUGUGGUGGAAAGAUUUAUCGGUGCAGGAUGGGCCCGCGGCCUAUCAGCUUGUUGGUGGGGUAAUGGCCUACCAAGGCGACGACGGGUAGCCGACCUGAGAGGGUGACCGGCCACACUGGGACUGAGACACGGCCCAGACUCCUACGGGAGGCAGCAGUGGGGAAUAUUGCACAAUGGGCGGAAGCCUGAUGCAGCGACGCCGCGUGAGGGAUGAAGGCCUUCGGGUUGUAAACCUCUUUCAGCAGGGACGAAGCGUGAGUGACGGUACCUGCAGAAGAAGCACCGGCUAACUACGUGCCAGCAGCCGCGGUAAUACGUAGGGUGCGAGCGUUGUCCGGAAUUACUGGGCGUAAAGAGUUCGUAGGCGGUUUGUCGCGUCGUUUGUGAAAACCCGGGGCUCAACUUCGGGCUUGCAGGCGAUACGGGCAGACUUGAGUGUUUCAGGGGAGACUGGAAUUCCUGGUGUAGCGGUGAAAUGCGCAGAUAUCAGGAGGAACACCGGUGGCGAA